This 1372-nucleotide ribosomal RNA is filed under the name uncultured bacterium. Its description in RNAcentral is "bacterial SSU rRNA". It matches the Rfam family "Bacterial small subunit ribosomal RNA", at positions 28 to 1381 of the family's 1533-position model. The record is from RNAcentral.
GAUGAACGCUGGCGGCGUGCCUAAUACAUGCAAGUCGAGCGAACAGAUAAGGAGCUUGCUCCUUUGAAGUUAGCGGCGGACGGGUGAGUAACACGUGGGUAACCUACCUAUAAGACUGGGAUAACUUCGGGAAACCGGAGCUAAUACCGGAUAACAUUUAGAACCGCAUGGCUCUAAAGUGAAAGAUGGUUUUGCUAUCACUUAUAGAUGGACCCGCGCCGUAUUAGCUAGUUGGUAAGGUAACGGCUUACCAAGGCGACGAUACGUAGCCGACCUGAGAGGGUGAUCGGCCACACUGGAACUGAGACACGGUCCAGACUCCUACGGGAGGCAGCAGUAGGGAAUCUUCCGCAAUGGGCGAAAGCCUGACGGAGCAACGCCGCGUGAGUGAUGAAGGGUUUCGGCUCGUAAAACUCUGUUAUUAGGGAAGAACAAAUGUGUAAGUAACUGUGCGCAUCUUGACGGUACCUAAUCAGAAAGCCACGGCUAACUACGUGCCAGCAGCCGCGGUAAUACGUAGGUGGCAAGCGUUAUCCGGAAUUAUUGGGCGUAAAGCGCGCGUAGGCGGUUUCUUAAGUCUGAUGUGAAAGCCCACGGCUCAACCGUGGAGGGUCAUUGGAAACUGGGAAACUUGAGUGCAGAAGAGGAAAGUGGAAUUCCAUGUGUAGCGGUGAAAUGCGCAGAGAUAUGGAGGAACACCAGUGGCGAAGGCGACUUUCUGGUCUGUAACUGACGCUGAUGUGCGAAAGCGUGGGGAUCAAACAGGAUUAGAUACCCUGGUAGUCCACGCCGUAAACGAUGAGUGCUAAGUGUUAGGGGGUUUCCGCCCCUUAGUGCUGCAGCUAACGCAUUAAGCACUCCGCCUGGGGAGUACGACCGCAAGGUUGAAACUCAAAGGAAUUGACGGGGACCCGCACAAGCGGUGGAGCAUGUGGUUUAAUUCGAAGCAACGCGAAGAACCUUACCAAAUCUUGACAUCCUUUGAAAACUCUAGAGAUAGAGCCUUCCCCUUCGGGGGACAAAGUGACAGGUGGUGCAUGGUUGUCGUCAGCUCGUGUCGUGAGAUGUUGGGUUAAGUCCCGCAACGAGCGCAACCCUUAAGCUUAGUUGCCAUCAUUAAGUUGGGCACUCUAGGUUGACUGCCGGUGACAAACCGGAGGAAGGUGGGGAUGACGUCAAAUCAUCAUGCCCCUUAUGAUUUGGGCUACACACGUGCUACAAUGGACAAUACAAAGGGCAGCUAAACCGCGAGGUCAUGCAAAUCCCAUAAAGUUGUUCUCAGUUCGGAUUGUAGUCUGCAACUCGACUACAUGAAGCUGGAAUCGCUAGUAAUCGUAGAUCAGCAUGCUACGGUGAAUACGUUCCCGGGUCU